CCUACGGGAGGCAGCAGUGGGGAAUCUUCCGCAAUGGACGAAAGUCUGACGGAGCAACGCCGCGUGAACGAUGAAGGUCUUCGGAUUGUAAAGUUCUGUGAUCCGGGACGAAGGCAUCAAUUGAGAAUAUUGAUUGAUGUUGACGGUACCGGAAAAGCAAGCCACGGCUAACUACGUGCC
Molecule: ribosomal RNA, 180 nt
Filed under: uncultured bacterium
Lineage: Bacteria
Description: partial 16S ribosomal RNA
Rfam family: Bacterial small subunit ribosomal RNA
Source: RNAcentral